This 640-nucleotide long non-coding RNA is filed under the name Bos indicus x Bos taurus (hybrid cattle). Its description in RNAcentral is "lncRNA (ENSBIXG00000006032.1)". Lineage: Eukaryota; Metazoa; Chordata; Mammalia; Artiodactyla; Bovidae. The record is from RNAcentral.
CUGAGGUUUGGUUUGGAUGGAGGCCAGUGAAUUCAGGGUGUAGAAUAGAAGCAACACACUGUGAUCAACAGGGCUUCCAUCCAGAACAAGGUAAGACUUCAGAUCGCAGAGCUCCAGGAGCCAAAUCAAGGAGCAGCCAUCACAGGGCCAUCAUGGAGCUUGGUGAUCAUCCAAUGAAGGCCCAGGGAUACUUCCUGAUGACCUCUUGCUGUGGAGACAGUCCCUGUAGACAGCUUGAACAUCUGGAAGUUCACAGUUCAUGUACUGUUGAAGUCAGAAGUACUUGUAAGUUCAAGUCUUUGAUCCUAGCCAACCAGGAUGGCAGCUCCUUCAUGGUGAAAACAACUUCUGUAGAGAGUUCUCUGACAAAGGUUAGAUUUCAGUGGAAGAUUUAAAAAAUCACAAAUGCGGAGAAGGAAAUGGCAACCCACUCCAGUAUUCUUGCCUGGAGAAUCCCGUGGACAGAGAAGCCUGGCAGGCUACAGUCCAUGCGGUCGCAAGAGUCCGACACAACUGAGCAGCUAAACCACCACCACCACAUGCUAAAUAUUAGUAAGUGCAUAUGAAUAUGCUAACAAAUGAUCAUCAUUCAAUAUUAUCUUUUAAAAAAUAAAAAAUCACAAAUGUUUUUGGUCUUCCA